AUGAAAAUACCUGUUUAUUUUCAUGCCGCAGCAAAUUGCAAUCCUAGAAAAAACAAGAUAAGGAUGUUUUUGGAAGAUGGGAUUGAGUUUUAUGACGACCAAGACAAGUUGUACAUUGCCACCGAUUUCUUCACAAGCAUUUUCGGCAUAACUUCUUUUUCUCUCCCAGCGAUUGAUGUUUCACAAGUUUAUGAGCUAGCUGACAUGAGCAUGUUAAUACAGCCUUCCUCAUGGGGAGAUAUCGUCUCUCUUAUUGACAAGCUACCAAACAACAGAAGUUCGGGGCCUAAUGGUUUCACAAAUGAAUUUUACAUGGCCUUUAAACACACAAUGAAGGAUGAUUUGAUAUGUUUUCUACAAUACUUCUAUGAUCAUAAGGCUGAUAUUCGACAAAUUAACACCUCCAACAUGGUGCUUCUGCCCAAGAAAGAAGCUCCAGUAAAUAUCAAGGAUUUCAGACCAAUAUCGCUGGUACAUAGCAUUCCCAAGAUGACGACCAAGGCACUGGUUGUGCGCUUACAGAAAAUGAUCCCGAUGCUGGUACACCCGUUACAGUCCGGAUUUCUGCCAGGAAGAUGCAUCAUGGAGAACUUUGUUCUCGCAGCCGAAUUGGUACAACAGGCGAUGAAGAGGAGAAUGCCCAUGAUAGUGCUCAAGCUGGAUUUCCAAAAAGCCUUUGACAAGUGGAUUCUAUCAGCAAGGGGUUUGGCCAACGAUGGAUCAAGUGGAUUCACACACUCUUAUAUUCCAGCUCUUCCAGGGUUAUAA
RNAcentral lists this ribosomal RNA (768 nucleotides) under Triticum aestivum (bread wheat). Its description in RNAcentral is "partial small subunit ribosomal RNA". Lineage: Eukaryota; Viridiplantae; Streptophyta; Magnoliopsida; Poales; Poaceae. The record is from RNAcentral.